This 3009-nucleotide long non-coding RNA is filed under the name Homo sapiens (human). RNAcentral's name for it is "HSALNT0342610". Lineage: Eukaryota; Metazoa; Chordata; Mammalia; Primates; Hominidae. The record is from RNAcentral.
UCCAGCCUGGAUGACAAAGUGAGACUCUAUCUCAAGAAAAAAAAAAAGAAAAGAAAGAAGUAGAAAGUGAUCAACUUUGUAAAAUACUGCCACUAAAUCCAGUAAGACGAUGAUUGAGAACUAACCAUUGUUGUUUUUAGCAAUACUGAUAUCAAAAAUGACCUGGAUGCCAAUUUCUAUCAAGUUUUAGGGGUGAGCCUGAUUGAAGCAGGUUUAAAACAGAAUGGCAGCAAGAUUAAGUGCUCUUAAAUCAUUUGACAAAACAUUUGUGGACAUAAUUUUUAUCGUGGACUUUUUAGUAGAGUAUCAGCUAUGAUUCAAUCCAUGUAGCAAUAGCUUAUUCUUCAGAAUGAUGUUCUGCAGGAGUAAGAAGUAUGCUAUGAAAAAAAAAAUCAUGUUUAAAUAGAUUUGUGAAAUCUGGGUUGGGAUUCAAACCUUGCUAAAUAUGUUUCUUUUUAGGUGAGUGCUAGGGUUUGAAUGGUUAUGUCCUCCCCAUAUUCCUAUAGUAUUAGUAGAUAGGGCCUUUGGGUAAUUAGGUCAGGAGGCAGAAUUCUCAUGAAUGGGAUUAGUGCCCUUGUAAAAAGGGCCCAAGGGAGAUCACUCAUUUUUUUCUACAUGUGAGGUUAGAGAAGAUCUAUGAGGAAGAGGGCUGUCACCAGACAGUCAAUCUGCUAGUGCCUUCAUCUUAGACUUCUUAGCCCCUAGAACUGUGAGAAAUAAAGUUCUGUUUUUUAUAAGCCACGCAGUCUAUGGCAUCUUGUUAUGCAAGUCUGAACAGACUGAGACAGUGAGCUGCUCAGAAUUCUCAACAUACUAAUCUAUGUUGUGAAUCUUUGGUAGCGAUACCAAAUAUUGUUUGCCCAAUUUAUUGGACCAUGGAAACAUUUUUACUAAGUACCCUUAACCAUAUCCAAGUGUGCCACAGUAAAAGUUUGGUAAAUACUGGCCUAAAUAAAAGUGAAAAAAAAUCAUAUAAUAAACCUUUGGAACAUGUGCAUGAACACAUACCAAAGCAAGGAUGAUAGCAUAUAUUAUGUUGGUACUUGUGUUGCAUUAUUAAAAAAAAAGUAUUUGAAUUUACUAUGAUUGAAAAAGAUUAUCCUAUCAGAGCCCAUUAUGAUGGGCUUUAGCCUACAUUUCAUCAACAAGCUUUUCUUCUUUUGAUCACUGUUGUAGCUACUUGAAUAAUAUUGUUUCCUCAGGAGUAUUUUAUACCUACAAUAGCCAUCAUCAAGCAAAUUAUAAGAGGACUAUUAUGUAAAUGAAAACUCCUUUAUUAUUCUCCCAAGAAAAUAAAAGCUAAUAAUUUUUGUUGUUAUAGUUUUACAAUAAGACAGUAUUUGCAGACAGAAAAAUCAAACUGUGACUAUUAAGAUAAAUGGGAAAUCAUCUUAUAGUCUACUAGGGUUUGGAUGUUUGUCCACUCUAAACCUCAUGCUGAAAUUUGAUCCCCAGUGUUGGAAGUGGGGCCUAAUGAGAAAUGUUAGGGUCAUAGGGGUAGAUCCCUCACAAAUAGUUUAAUGCCCUUUCUCAGGAGUGAGUUCUUUAUUAGUUCCCACAAGAGAUAGUUGUUAAAAAGAGCCUGACACCUCCCCUGUUUCUCUCCCUUGGUUCCUCUCUCGUCAUGUGAUCUCUGUAUACGCUGGUUCCCCUUUGCCUUCUGCCAUGAGUGGAAGCAGUCUGAGGCCCUCACCAGAAGCAGAUGCUGGAGCCAUGAUGCACAGCCUCAGAAGUUGGCCCAUCUGGAACAGCUGCUGAAGGAACGCCAGUUGCAGUGGAGGAGGCGAAGCCGGGCUGUGCGCUCCAUGGAGACUGCAGGAGCCGGGAACAGCAAAAGUCCAUCUGAGACCUGCUUUCAUUGCACUGCCUCGUGAGGAGCUGUAGGAGAAGAUAUCAUAACUAUUCCCCACUUCUAAUUGUUAGAAGCAACAGCUGUCUAUCAAGAACAAUCUGAGGAUUGUGCACAAAUUGAUUUGGUUCUAUCAAGUGCUGGCUUUCGAUUCCAGUCUGACUUCACUACCACAGGAGCUUCUUGCUCAGGCUUCUGUUCCGGCUCCAUUCUCUCCCUGCCAUUAUAAUGCCAUCCACUGCAGCACCAUCUCUUCAAUCACUCUUCAGAAAUGCAAAUUGCUGCCUUCAGAAGGAAGCACACGGGCCUAUGAAUUUUAUAUCAGCAGGGAUUACCAAUGAGUCAUGCUUGAUGUUGUAAAAACUAUUCAGGAACCAAGAAAAGGGGCAGAAUAAGUGAGAGAAUGAACGAGAAUGAAAAAAAGAAUAGAACCAGUCGGCCAGUGACAUUUUCUAGUGAAACACAUAUGGGAUGCAAGAAAAGGACUCAGAAAAGCCUUGGGAGUAAAUAUUGAAAUGAUCUUGAAUGAUUUGGCAGGAGAAGAUGUGUCAGCAGGGCUUACCGUAUAGCUCCGAAGGAUGGUGAUGACGACACCACAGACCAAGAUAGUUUACAAAGGCUUAAUGGAGCUCAGAUAUUUGAGAAAAAAAAAAAAAAGAUUAACCAUAUUCAGCUGAGAAAAGGGAACACAAACACAUCUGGGGAAAGUAAUCUUAAAUAAAGAUACUCAGAUGGAGAAAAACAUGUGUCAAGCCUGGACCUGGAGUAAAAGCAGACAGAAAAAAUUUGAGUUGCAAGGGAUUACAACAGCUCAGAAAGGAAAACAUUCAUGAUCUCAUUCCACCUGAAGCCAGUGCCUCUGUAAUGUGUAGCAGAAUCCUAUGGAGAAGUUGUAAAAACACAAAAUGUUGGCCCCACCCCAAGAGUUUCUGAUUUUGCAGGUCUGGAGAGGGCCUGUGAUACGUACUUCUAACAAGCUCCCAGGCGAUGCUAAUGUUGCUGGUCUAGAAACACACUUUGAGAGCCACUGUUUUACAAUGUAUUCACCCAGCUUAUGCAAUCAACUACUAUCACAGCAAAGUCCAAAGAAUGCUCCUUAUUUGUUUGUUAUACUGGAGUUUGGCUUGGCUAAAUAUUAUUUGAAACUGAAUGGCUGUUGA